Molecule: ribosomal RNA, 254 nt
Filed under: uncultured bacterium
Lineage: Bacteria
Description: partial 16S ribosomal RNA
Rfam family: Bacterial small subunit ribosomal RNA
Source: RNAcentral
CACGUAGGGGGCAAGCGUUGUCCGGAUUUAUUGGGCGUAAAGAGCUCGUAGGUGGUUCGAUAAGUCGGGUGUGAAACCUCCAGGCUCAACCUGGAGACGCCACCCGAUACUGUCGUGACUAGAGUCCAGUAGGGGAGUGGGGAAUUCCUGGUGUAGCGGUGGAAUGCGCAGAUAUCAGGAGGAACACCGGUGGCGAAGGCGCCACUCUGGGCCGGUACUGACGCUGAGGAGCGAAAGCGUGGGGAGCGAACAGG